CCUACGGGAGGCAGCAGUGAGGAAUAUUGGUCAAUGGCCGAGAGUCUGAACCAGCCAAGUCGCGUGAAGGACGACUGCCCUAUGGGUUGUAAACUUCUUUUAUAUGGGAAUAAUAUGUUCUACGUGUGGCAUUAUGCCUGUACCUUAUGAAUAAGCAUCGGCUAACUCCGUGCCAGCAGCCGCGGUAAUACGGAGGAUCCGAGCGUUACCCGGAUUUAUUGGGUUUAAAGGGUGCGUAGGGGGUUGUUUAAGUCAGUGUUAAAAUUUGGGGGGUUAACCUUUAUUUGCCAUUUAUAAUGGCAGACUUGAGUGCAGAAGAGGUGGGCGGAAUAAGUGGUGUAGCGGUGAAAUGCUUAGAUAUCACGAAGAACUCCGAUAGCGAAGGCAGUUCACUAGACUGCGACUGACGCUGAGGCACGAGAGUGUGGGUAGCAAACAGGAGUAGAUACCCCGGUAGUC
RNAcentral lists this ribosomal RNA (459 nucleotides) under uncultured bacterium. Its description in RNAcentral is "partial 16S ribosomal RNA". It matches the Rfam family "Bacterial small subunit ribosomal RNA", at positions 338 to 795 of the family's 1533-position model. The record is from RNAcentral.